AUUGAACGCUGGCGGCAGGCCUAACACAUGCAAGUCGAGCGGAUGAAGGGAGCUUGCUCCUGGAUUCAGCGGCGGACGGGUGAGUAAUGCCUAGGAAUCUGCCUGGUAGUGGGGGAUAACGUCCGGAAACGGGCGCUAAUACCGCAUACGUCCUGAGGGAGAAAGUGGGGGAUCUUCGGACCUCACGCUAUCAGAUGAGCCUAGGUCGGAUUAGCUAGUUGGUGGGGUAAAGGCCUACCAAGGCGACGAUCCGUAACUGGUCUGAGAGGAUGAUCAGUCACACUGGAACUGAGACACGGUCCAGAAUCCUACGGGAGGCAGCAGUGGGGAAUAUUGGACAAUGGGCGAAAGCCUGAUCCAGCCAUGCCGCGUGUGUGAAGAAGGUCUUCGGAUUGUAAAGAACUUUAAGUUGGGAGGAAGGGCAGUAAGUUAAUACCUUGCUGUUUUGACGUUACCAACAGAAUAAGCACCGGCUAACUUCGUG
RNAcentral lists this ribosomal RNA (484 nucleotides) under uncultured bacterium. Its description in RNAcentral is "partial 16S ribosomal RNA". It matches the Rfam family "Bacterial small subunit ribosomal RNA", at positions 30 to 507 of the family's 1533-position model. The record is from RNAcentral.